UGCAAGUCGAACGAGAGAUGAGGAGCUUGCUCUUCAAAUCGAGUGGCGAACGGGUGAGUAACGCGUGAGGAACCUGCCUCAAAGAGGGGGACAACAGUUGGAAACGACUGCUAAUACCGCAUAAGCCCACAGCUCGGCAUCGAGCAGAGGGAAAAGGAGUGAUCCGCUUUGGGAUGGCCUCGCGUCCGAUUAGCUAGUUGGUGAGGUAACGGCCCACCAAGGCGACGAUCGGUAGCCGGACUGAGAGGUUGAACGGCCACAUUGGGACUGAGACACGGCCCAGACUCCUACGGGAGGCAGCAGUGGGGAAUAUUGCACAAUGGGGGAAACCCUGAUGCAGCGACGCCGCGUGGAGGAAGAAGGUCUUCGGAUUGUAAACUCCUGUUGUUGAGGAAGAUAAUGACGGUACUCAACAAGGAAGUGACGGCUAACUACGUGCCAGCAGCCGCGGUAAAACGUAGGUCACAAGCGUUGUCCGGAAUUACUGGGUGUAAAGGGAGCGCAGGCGGGAGAACAAGUUGGAAGUGAAAUCCAUGGGCUCAACCCAUGAACUGCUUUCAAAACUGUUUUUCUUGAGUAGUGCAGAGGUAGGCGGAAUUCCCGGUGUAGCGGUGGAAUGCGUAGAUAUCGGGAGGAACACCAGUGGCGAAGGCGGCCUACUGGGCACCAACUGACGCUGAGGCUCGAAAGUGUGGGUAGCAGACAGGAUUAGAUACCCUGGUAGUCCACACCGUAAACGAUGAUUACUAGGUGUUGGAGGAUUGACCCCUUCAGUGCCGCAGUUAACACAAUAAGUAAUCCACCUGGGGAGUACGACCGCAAGGUUGAAACUCAAAGGAAUUGACGGGG
Molecule: ribosomal RNA, 849 nt
Filed under: uncultured bacterium
Lineage: Bacteria
Description: bacterial SSU rRNA
Rfam family: Bacterial small subunit ribosomal RNA
Source: RNAcentral